AAGAUGCUGUCUUGGACUUUAUCUAUUCACCGCUUCCGGCGAGUGUGACGUCGGCGGCGCUUCUACUUCUGGAGCUGAUCAUUGUCGCUGGGAAAAGGAGCUGCAGGAACCGGCAGACAGGCAACAUUAGCAUUGAUAAGAAACUGACAGAUUCCAGAGAACACCGACAGGGU
Molecule: long non-coding RNA, 173 nt
Organism: Carcharodon carcharias (great white shark)
Lineage: Eukaryota; Metazoa; Chordata; Chondrichthyes; Lamniformes; Lamnidae
Exons: 3
Source: RefSeq, a predicted model, not a curated record